UUAAGUUCAGCGGGUAGUCCUACCUGAUUUGAGAUCGAACGUUAAAAAAGCUGUCCUCACCGAGGAGAGACGUCUAUGAGCCCCAGCGAACCUCCACUGCUGGAGGUUACCUGGUGGACAAUCGCAAGCGUAGAUAGUUAUCACACCUGUGGUGCCGCCAAACACUGGCAAGCUGAUUCAUUUGAGAGGAGCUGGCCACU
Molecule: unclassified non-coding RNA, 200 nt
Filed under: Thelephoraceae sp.
Lineage: Eukaryota; Fungi; Basidiomycota; Agaricomycetes; Thelephorales; Thelephoraceae
Description: partial internal transcribed spacer 2
Source: RNAcentral